Molecule: unclassified non-coding RNA, 329 nt
Filed under: soil metagenome
Description: partial contains 5.8S ribosomal RNA, internal transcribed spacer 2, and large subunit ribosomal RNA
Rfam family: 5.8S ribosomal RNA (bases 1-120)
Source: RNAcentral
GAUGAAGAACGCAGCGAAAUGCGAUAAGUAAUGUGAAUUGCAGAAUUCAGUGAAUCAUCGAAUCUUUGAACGCACAUUGCGCCCUCUGGUAUUCCGGGGGGCAUGCCUGUUCGAGCGUCAUUAUAACCACUCAAGCUUUCGCUUGGUAUUGGGGCUCGCGGUUCCGCGGCCCCUAAAAUCAGUGGCGGUGCCUGUCGGCUCUACGCGUAGUAAUACUCCUCGCGAUUGAGUCCGGUAGGUCUACUUGCCAGCAACCCCCAAUUUUUACUGGUUGACCUCGGAUCAGGUAGGGAUACCCGCUGAACUUAAGCAUAUCAAUAAGCGGAGGA